GACCUGCAUGUUUGGAGGCGGGGGGUAGCAGAGCACUGACCUGCUGACCCUUGAGAAAAGUGUCCUGCAAGUGAGAAUCCUGCAUAUUCUGCAAGCACAGUAGAGGGGAGAGGAAGACAGCCGAAAUACAGCUGCAGACUGGGGUGUGAUGGUUGCCAAAUAAGUGAUUCUCCCCAUUUCGUUAAAACCCCUCAGGACUGUCGUCGUGGAUGAAGAUGUUGGGUCUGAAGAAAGAGAAGACAAAAAAGCACAAGCGUCCCCUGUGACCAUCUCUGAUGGAUUAAAAAUGAACUCUGCUGAAACAGAAAGAAUAGACCCAAGCCAGAGCCAAGCAGAGUCUCAGGAAUCGCCAUGGAUCUUUGAACAGGAUGAAAUGUUGUCCA
RNAcentral lists this long non-coding RNA (383 nucleotides) under Sus scrofa (pig). RNAcentral's name for it is "lncRNA (ENSSSCG00065037954.1)". The record is from RNAcentral. Lineage: Eukaryota; Metazoa; Chordata; Mammalia; Artiodactyla; Suidae.